This 119-nucleotide ribosomal RNA is filed under the name Melitaea cinxia (Glanville fritillary). Lineage: Eukaryota; Metazoa; Arthropoda; Insecta; Lepidoptera; Nymphalidae. The record is from RNAcentral.
UUAAACGUCCAUACCACGUUGAAUACACCGGUUCUCGUCCGAUCACCGAAUUUAGACAACGUCGGGCGCGGUUAGUACUUGGAUGGGCGACCGCCUGGGAACACCGCGUGCCGUUGUUU